AGCUUCAACGUGUUCAGUGUACGGGGAGCACCUGCGGGACGCUGCUUUCGCUGGAGUGGAGCGAGGCCUCAGAGCUGGAGUCUGAGGCUGUGCUCCCGUGGGGUUGUGCCUGCUCCCCCCCGGUCUGAGUAGUGUUCUAUGGGAUUACAACAUUUUUGUAGCACUGCUAUUUUUUUUGCAGAGCACAAGAUGUGUUUUUGCAGAGCACAACAAGGUGCCUGGUACAGCUUAGUGCUUGUGUAUGGAGCCAAGAGGCGGAGGGACAGAGAUUUAGGGGAUACACUCGGGUCAGUUUUAGGUUGCUUUAAAAAUAAGCUUUGAAAUGAAAGGUAUUGUGAACACUGACUUAAUUUCACAAAGUUUUAUGGAAGUUCUGUAUUUGAAUAAACUUCAGGGCCAGAUAGAGAGCUGAGGUUUGCUGGACUUCUGGCUCCUGGUGCAUUGCAGACCUUCUGGACCAGACGCCUUUGCUGAAAUUAUUUACCAGGGAAACCUUUACAUACAUUGGCAAGCAGUGCAUGUAUAGAAAAAACAAACAGUGAUACAGAAAUUGCAGGGCUCCUGAUGCAGUGGCAGGCGUGGAUUGUACCUGAAGACAGCUUCUGGGUGCAGCUGUUCUGUAGGAGGUGAUUUGUGAGGGAGGAGAUUGAAGGAUGCCAUCCAAUUAGCUGCUUGGGGAUUGACGGGGGGAACCAAACAGCCAAAUUAAUGUUAUGGUGUGGUGACUAAACGCCAUGAGAUGGGACAUUCCAGUCCUGGUGUUCACAUGUAACUGUAGGAUUGGCCUCUUCCUAAGGGUAGCUUUCAUUCCUGUUUCCUUAAAUGCUGGUUACCUGGUGAUUUAGGGCAUUCCAGCUUACCAUAGUGGAACAGAACAAUUAGCCUUGUUUUCUUUUGAGGAGGGACAAAUCUAAGCAAGUUUAAAUCAAGGAAUUCAGAGGCGGUGUUUACAAUACUUGAUGAAGCAGGUAAUCCUGGGCUUCAUUAAAUGCUUGUAUUUAAUGGUGACAUCAGGAAUCCAAUGGGUGGAGUUAGCUAUGGUUUUAUUUUCCAGCUACACAAAACAUGCCACUCCUCCCAGCUUGGUCACCUCCAUGUUUCUCUGCAGCAGCUAAACGCCUGCAGGACUUCAGUGAUUCACUGGGAAACCACAAACGUUUACGAUGCCUUUAUGCUAUCCUCGGCAGGGAAAGUUUAGCAUCUUGCAACCCCUCCAAUAUUUUAAUGAGCUUUGCUACCAAAGCUUCCUCAGCGCCUCUCAUUUCUGUGGCCAUUUGUGUUUAAAGAAAAAUUCCUGGGAAAUAGUGUCAGUUUGUUUGGGCUGUGUGAGGUGUACCCUGUGGGCAGCAGCCUCCUACACUGUUAGCUGCCAGCGGCACACGGGUGCUACUUCUCUUUUUGGCUGUUCUCAAAAAGCUCUGACAUAACAUUUUUCCAUUCCAAUUCACUCUGUAGGUGGAUGUAUAUGCAUUUUUUCCCUCCCUUCCUCCUGCUCCGCUUUUGCAGCAGCACAGUGCUGGUAUGGCUCCUUGGAGUUGGAUCGGCUGCUCCUCUUUAAAUGUUGCUGCAAUUUGUAGGGAUCAAAGACCUUAUAUUCCAUACAACAGCUGUAACUCACGGCCAAAGGCUGACGCUUGUGCUGUAAAACUUUCUAGAGCUGCAGAAGGUAUUCUGUGUCUUCUUGCACAUUUUCUCUGAAAUGCACAUCUGAGCAACAGCUGUAAAAACAUGCAGCAGCUUUCUUGUGUAGUAGAACAAUGUUCAUAUCGUGACCGAUCUCUUUUGGAGAUAAUAAAAAUCCCACGUAGAAGUCACAGUGAAAUCUGGAGGCUGGAAAUUGGGCAAUUUUGCAUCUGUAGAAAAGAUACAUUUGUCAAAGGGAAUAAUCCACCAUUAAAGUAACUUGCUGAGUUUAUUAGCUCUGAAUUUCCGGGUGGAAAUUGUGUGCUUGUCUGAAGGAGGAGCUGCAGGCCAGGUGGUAGUUACAGGCUUGGUGCUGAAAUUAUGGGGUGAGAUUGCUUGGAGUAUGUAAUUGCUGUUAGUAAGAGCUUGGGCCAAACAACACCAUUGCUGUCCCCAAAGUCCGUCCAUGCCUCUGCUUAUCUAGAGGGUAGGGAGGGCAUUUGCAGAGCUGCAGCUGUCUCCUGAAGCUCUGUCUUGUUUCAGUGGGUCAGCCCCAAUUUCUGAGGGGAUGUGUACACAGGUAGGUGUUGGUGUGGGGGCGCUUACCCACGAGAACCUGACUGAGGGCAGCAAUUCACAAUGCUCUGGAAAUCCUAAAUGAUGAAAUUUUAUUGUCCUACCUCUAGCUAAAAGAUCUGCAUUUGCUGUCAUUGGCCUUUCCUGCCACCAUAUUUCACAAAGAGAUCAUUUAAGAAGAAAAAAUGGUAAUGCAGGAUUUUAUACCCCUCUGACACAGUGAGCCAGUGAAACAGCCUGGGAGGGCCAACGCUGCGACUGAGGAGACUGACGUGCACUUGUAAGUCAGGCAGUGGCACUGUCCUUAAGCUGCCCCCUGAAGGCUUUCCUCCUGCGCUCUGUGUCCUUGGUCAGGUUUGUAGCUCUGGGGCUGGUGGCUCUCGAAGUGCAGGAUUGUCACUGCAGGUGUAAGGCUGUGUGAGAGGACAGGAGGCUACCUGCUGCUGUCUGCUUUCCGUCCUGUGUCGCCUCAGUGCGUGCACUGCAUACCUACAGCCCACCCGGUGAGGAGCCUGGCAGGGUGUGGGGCAGUGAUACGUGCUGGAACUGGGGAAGAAGCAACGUGAGAAGACUGCAGCCUUGGAUAUCAUUGAAUUAUCUGUGCAAAAGCAAGAGGCAGAUGAGGGAGAAUCAACAGCCAGGAGCUUUAAAUGAAGAGACAGCUUCCUGAAAUAGCAGCUCCGGCUGCUGUGGGGCAAUGGCUCUUGUGCUUACAUAAGCUAAUGUGACCUUAUUUGUUCCCAAGAUGCUUAAGCAUGCUUAUAAAACAGAUAUCACAGUCAUGAGGGGUUCAUGUCUGCCACCUCCUUGCUGUCAGCAAGGCAAAUCUUGAUAUCCUUGCGGUUACUGUGGGGUUGACUCGUUCUUCGGAGAGCCCUACUUGCUGUUGGUGAUCUUGGCUUUUCCUGCUGGGUCUUUUGGGUAGAAAAUUUCAUCCACAGGCCCUGGGACUGCCCCGUGAGCUGCUUUUAUUGAACAGCAGGCCGUGGUGAGGAGCAGAGAGAGAGUUCUAGCACAGUUUUGGCCUCCUAUGUCCUCAACAGGCUGCGUCACACCAAGCAGAGCCUUUGGACGGCUGUUCAAGUUUAUUCUGAUGUUGGGAGUCUAGACAGCUCGGUUGUGUUUACAGUACAAAGUGCUGUUGCCUCAUGCUGUAAAUGACAGAGCUCACCUGAGAUGCUGUAGCCUCAGAGAGAGACUCCUUCCUCUUCGAGACAGCUUUGUUCUUUUAUCAGCAGGUCUCAAAGCGCUUUACAAAGGGAAUUCUAACCAGUGAGUUGCUGAUGUAAUGAUGAAAGUAUUCUGCAGAAAUCCAAGAGCUGAUGCGUUUAGCUGCAGUUGUUCUCCCUGUUUUGCAGAUGACAUGCUUGGCUGGGAGGCGAGCCAAGAAUCGAGCUUUGAUCUCCUGGGACAUCCCAGAGACCCUCUCUCUGCUUGGACGAUCUGACUGUUCCUUAACUUGGCUUCAGAAGAGCUUUGUGUUGGGCACCAGUCCCUGUCCCCGUGCUAUCUCCAGGAGGAAGCUGGUGGCUGUGUGUUCAGGCUGCCCAGAGUCAGUGGCAGGACCAGGGAGACCCAAAUUCCCCAUAUCCUGUAGGGAACAGUCACCGUUUUGGUGAGGGGUCUCUUUGCUAGGGAUCACACAUUGUCUUUUUGACUUCAUCGUGCUGCUCUCAGUUUGGUCUUUCAUCCCUGCUGGUUGUCAUUGUGGGCACGUUUUGGUGUUUGUCCCCUUGUUAGGUGUAUUUCUGUUUUCUCUCUGAUCGGUUAUAAAAUCGCUGUCUUGUCUUUAGAGUGGUCUUGAAGCCAUGCCAAUUUUUAGUAACUCAGUGACAGAUUUGGGGCAGGAAGCUCCGGGAUCUGAAUACAUAAUUUCAUUACCUUUUUGUGUCAUCCCUUUCCCAGGGACUGGCUUGCCCUCCUGAACCAAGGUGCUUCGUGUAACUCCCAACUUCAGCUGAAACUCCCAGUUACAACAUGAAAGUCAGAGGGAAGUGGAAAAGGAUUUGAGGAGUAUGCCACAAAAAGCGUAUUUUCGUGGCUGGGCAACUUCAAAACAAAACAGCUGUCAGAAAAACUGUUGGUGAAGCUGCUUUCUCUGGCUUGUACGCAGCAGUUUCCUGAGGGUUUCCUUUGUCUGACUUGUGCAGUAAGUACGCGAUAGGAAGGGCCCAACUUCACGGUUUUCUUUUUUCUUUCACUUGUUUUGUCAGUGUUGUCUAAAGGACAGGAAGAGCAGAGCGCAGAGCGUUCAGGUUGGUCGGUUGGUCCCCAAGUGCAAUCAGGGCAUCCUGGGGUGUAAAAACACUCACAGCACCCAGUGCCCAGCUUCAGGGCUGGACCAAAGCUGGUUUUCUGUAGAAAGGAGAGAGUGUAGACAGGCAGGGGAUUACAUGGCCCGGGCGAGGAGUGGUAUAGAUAAAACUCUUUUCUUUUUUUUAUUCAUAGAUAAAUGUCCUCUUUUGUAGGACUCAUAGUUUGAAAGUUACUCUAUACUCUCUGAAGACUUCCAUCGUAGGGCAUUAGAGGGUUUUGUCGGUGUCGUGUGGUUCAGCAAGGGAUUUAAAGUCAGUAGCUGGAGCCACUCGGCACGUGAGGAAGGAGAGAGGGUUACACUACACAGCCUCCUGCCCUUCAUUUCUGAAGGGCAUCACAUUUGAUUACUGGUGUCUUCAUUUGUAUGGAGAUAAAUUAUUAACAGUGACUUCAUCAAAUCUCUAAGAAAGCCAUUCUUCUUUCUUUUUUUCUUGAAGAUCGUCUGAACUUUUAUCUGUCCAUCCUUAUAAAUUCUUAAUUCAUUGCCCUUUCUCAGCCUCUCAGCUUGUAAAAUGAGGCCAGUCGUGAUUUAACUGAUAUCUUUGACGUGCUUUCAGAGUACUGGAUGUCUCUGCGGAGAAUUCAUUCCCUCUGUUCCCUCCGCUGUCCCGUAUGGUUUUUCCCUGCUCCAUUCACAUGCGGUCUAUGGAGAAAAUGAUCAGAUCUUUACACUUGGGAAAGCCCUGGCAUUUUCUGUAAGAAUGUCAUCUUGAUUUCUGGGCUCCUCCCUCUAAUAACAGCCAAAAUAAACAUUGCAGAAAAGGACCUUUAAUUACACCCUUCAGCAUGUGGGUCUGCUUAGUCCCCUACUCUCUCUGUCUACACUUUCAGUCUUCAGAAACUUCAGUGAGAGGGAACGAAGGGAGGAGGGAUUGUCCAUGCUUUUUUUCCUCUUUUAGUGCUCUCGGCAGCAGCACUUCAAGUGGGUGGUGUGAGGACCCCUCCCUGUGUGGAUGUGCUCGUGUAAACUGUGUGCAUUGGUGUGAAAAGUAGAUCUUGCUCUGUGGAUGGAUGGAAAGCCCACUCUUCCCUCCUCCCCGGCUCAUCUUCCAUUAUUUAGCCCUAAGUUUGAGCAUGUUCAAUGAACAUGGUCACGAAGGAAGUGUUUGGAGAUGGCUCGCCUGGGUUUUAAGAAGUUCCUGGCUGAUUCCUGGCUCUGCAAUCGUCUGUGUGGGUCAGUGCUGUGCUCAGCCUCCUGAGCCUCUGCAAAACAGUGGGAAUAAGGCUGGCAUGCCCCUCAGGAGCAAGGGGAGGGUAAUUACAGAUGAGACAAGGGUGCUUGCACCACAUAAUGACAGGAGCUACGAGCGUGCCAAAUGCUAAAAUCCUCCAUUUGCUUUUCAGUUUGUUAUUAGCUCGGUUUGUUAUUGCUCUGAACAGCACAGGAGGACUGUUCCCCUCCCACACCUCUCAGCUCACCUGCCUGUUGACACGGGAGAUCUUGUGCUUCGGCUCAGGUAAUGGGCACGUACUUGUAGGGCCCCAAACCCGCUUACGGGGGCCCUCAGAGUGUGGCUCCACCACGGGGAGCCGAGCCACAGCAGCAGCAAAACGUCAGGUCGUGUCUGCUCAGGAACCUCGUGAGCAGCACGGAGCAAAGAGCAAAGCUUCAGCUUUCAGAGCCAGCGUGGAAGCAGUCAGCAAAGCGAGCUCAGGCUUCUUGAGCUCUAUCUGAGUGUGACCACGGACGUUCAGCGGGGCGGAAACUUGGCUGAGCUGUUUGCUGCUGGAGAACAGAGCUCAGGGCCACAGCCCCGGGCUGUGCCAGGGGGUGCAAGGCCGUGCGGGGCGGGUGGAGGUGUGUGUUUUGCAGGAGGCUCUUGGCACUGCGUUCGGCCGUGAAGCUGCACAUUUAUCCGUCAGCAUCAGAAAUCCUAGAAGCAGAGGACUCUGGAUCCAGGAGUGCCAUCCACCAGCCACAGCCAGAGGCCCCUGGAAGCAGCGUGUUUGGCACAGCGAGCCCCAACCUCUGCCAGCUGAAUCCACGCAGGGCGAGGCAGGAACCGUGUUGCUGCAUUGGCUUGCCACGAGUUGGGAGUUCCAGCUGUGAAAACUGCCUCCCUACUUUUUCCUUUUGGAAAGUGACCUGCCCAGAUCUGCUGACAGCCGAGAUGUGCAGGCACGAUUACCUGUCACGGGUAUUACGGAGCUGGAACUGGAACCGGGAUUCCCUGAAAUUGGGCCUGGCUGUUACUGAAGGAGCAGAGUAACAGAGGCAGAAAUGGCAGCAAAAGAACAAGAUCAGCAAGUGGUGAAGUGUGGCUCCUGAGUACAAGCCACGUGCUCCCUGCUCUUAGCGUUAGGUGAUGGGGUUAUGCCACUCCUAGUGCUUUUAGAGGGCUGGGGAAGGGAGAGUUGGAUGCCUUUGCAAACAGCACAUGGCAGAGAAUCACAGAACAGGCAGGCUGACAAGCUUGGCUGGGUUUUCACUGGACCCUCCAUCACCUACAGCAGAGCUGGAAGCAAAGCCACUGCUUUGUGCCUCAGUUCUGCUGUGUAAAAUGGAGAUACCUCGUGCAGGGCUUUUGCAAUCUAACCAGUGUGAGAGGCUCUCCAAAGGAUGCUGCAGAUGACUGAAAUGCUGCUUUUCUUUUUAAGGCACGUUUGCCAUGUGUUGCAGUCUGCCAUCUGUUACAUAAUGGUUUUCGCUUUAUUUUUACUGCAUUUUACAUGUGCCCCAAGUGAAAUUAUUGUAGGCCCCUAAAACGCCUGACCCAUGCACUCAGGGUGGCAGUGCUAGCUUCAGCUUCCAGAUCACCGACUGAGGGACCCAAGUAAUCUGCUUUGCAAACCCCCAGCCUACAGACAAGGUGGGUACUGCAUGUAGCAAGAAUUUAGGACAAAUACUUGGGAAAGCUGCUUUUGAGGUUUGGACUCAGCGUGGAAGAGACUUGGGAUUUCAUUCCCUGGGAGCAGUCCCCAAGGCUUGCCAGCAGUCAGUUUCCUUUAUUAACAUCCUAACACAAACCCCAAACGCCGGGCUGUGUGCACUCCCUGCUAUGGGGGGGUGGGAGCGAAGCACGGCGUGACAGCAGACAGCAUCUCUGGUAGCAAGUAAUGGGGAAGUUCUGCGUGGUGAUGAGGUUGGGAAAAUGGCACUGAGCUGAGCAGGAGCUGGGCUGGAGACUCUGCGGAGGCAGGGCUGUCUGAACCGUGCCAGAUACAGAGGAGCUGGCAUUUCUGUGCUCGUUGGAGUACAUUUCUUUUAUGCCCUUUGAAGCAGAAGGGAAGGGGAAAGGAGAGCAGUUGAGGAACAGCAACGCUUCUCUGCAUCCAGCUUCCUUAAAGCAAUACCUGGCAGUGCUGGACCAGAGAGAAUUGUGCAUUCUGCACUUCUUCACUAUCUGCUGCUUUUUUGUUGCUCCUCUGGCUUCUCCAUCCACCCCCCACCGUUUUCCUUGCUCCUUCCUGGUCUUUUGAGAGCUGUUUCAAAGCGAUCCGUGUUAGUAGGGAGCUAUUUGUUUGCAGAGCACCUAAAUUGUACCGGAUCGCCUCUGGCUGUUUGUGCGGGUGUAACCAUGCUUCGGUUUCCAGACUCAUGCAAAACACGUCCUUUAAUUUCGAUGUUUAGUCUCACUGCAGUGAUGUCAGUAGCCCCGUGGUAUCUCCCAUCUCCAGCAGGGAAGCCGCGCUGCUUUUCCUUCUGCAGCUCUGCAGGAGUUCGGUCGGGCACCCAGACCACUCAGUGCACGUCCCAGUUUCCCAAGCACCUGACAACUGCUGUGGACUUGUAGCACCAACCCCUCGAGUGCUGUUCAGAGGUUUGUCUAUUGACUUCAGCAGGGUGUGCUUCAAACCCUUCAGAAUAUCAGUGCUGUGAGAAGGGAUGGCAGCAAGGACAGACAG
Long non-coding RNA from Anas platyrhynchos (mallard), 8361 nucleotides. RefSeq lists it as uncharacterized. Lineage: Eukaryota; Metazoa; Chordata; Aves; Anseriformes; Anatidae. The record is from RefSeq and is a predicted model, not a curated record.